CAGCCGCCGCGGUAAUACGGAGGGCGCGAGCGUUGUCCGGAUUCACUGGGCGUAAAGCGGGUGUAGGCGGUUCGGAAAGAAAGAUGUGAAAUCCCAGAGCUUAACUUUGGAACUGCAUUUUUAACUACCGGGCUAGAGUGUGUCAGAGGGAGGUGGAAUUCCGCGUGUAGCAGUGAAAUGCGUAGAUAUGCGGAGGAACACCGAUGGCGAAGGCAGCCUCCUGGGAUAACACUGACGCUCAUGCACGAAAGCGUGGGGAGCAAACAGGAUUAGAUACCCUGGUAGUCCACGCCCGAAACGAUGUCAACGAGCUGUUGGGGCCUUCGGGCCUUGGUAGCGCAGCUAACGCGUGAAGUUGACCGCCUGGGGAGUACGGUCGCAAGAUUAAAACUUAAAGGAAUUGGCGGG
RNAcentral lists this ribosomal RNA (408 nucleotides) under uncultured microorganism. RNAcentral describes it as "bacterial SSU rRNA". It matches the Rfam family "Bacterial small subunit ribosomal RNA", at positions 509 to 917 of the family's 1533-position model. The record is from RNAcentral.